This 330-nucleotide ribosomal RNA is filed under the name uncultured fungus. Its description in RNAcentral is "eukaryotic LSU rRNA". The record is from RNAcentral. Lineage: Eukaryota; Fungi.
AACGCACCUUGCACCGUAUGAGUAAUUGUACGGUAUACCUGUUUGAGAAUCGUAAAGACCCACUUUCCCCCAGUUUUUGGGGGGAGAACUGUCAGCUGUCCACGCACAGUGGACUCUGAUUAAAAGUAGUAGGUUAUGUGGUCAGGCUGGUGGCCUGGGACAUUGUGUGCUAGAGACACGCGGUUCAAUCCGCAAGUCUUCCUCACAGUGGGUCCUGGGUCCUUUGAAAAGCCGGUUAGACCACUGCCUCCUCAGCACUAUCCCCUCACGGGGAUGGUACAACCCCACAUUUUUGAUCUCAAAUCAGGUAAGGCUACCCGCAGAACUUAA